RNAcentral lists this unclassified non-coding RNA (2995 nucleotides) under uncultured fungus. RNAcentral describes it as "sequence contains 18S rRNA gene, ITS1, 5.8S rRNA gene, ITS2, 28S rRNA gene". The stretch from base 1733 to 2995 matches the Rfam family "Eukaryotic large subunit ribosomal RNA", at positions 1 to 961 of the family's 3401-position model. The record is from RNAcentral. Lineage: Eukaryota; Fungi.
GGAUGGAUCAUUAAAGUAUCAGCUAGACUGAAGAUUGUUUGUCUGCUCAAUGAAGAUGACAUCUUCUGGUCCAGUCUUCCAAUUACUAUUGGUGACGACGAAGAUGUGUGGACUGAACGACGAAAACCCCACUCGCAACGAGCAAGACGCUUGGGGCGGACCGAACCACACACGGUCCUAGCGUCUUGCUCACCAGUCGUACCUGGCGGCCUGUCAUCAUGAGGCUUGUCCGCUGACCCUUGUAUAAUUAUUGGAAUCGCCUUCCGUAGGUUUCGCCCCGUUAUAAGGGCAACCUUUAAUAUUCUGGCCUCAGUGUCGCGGAUCGCAGCGUAGCUGUGAAUUAAGGAGGUACGCCUGAAGCAGCAUUCUGCGAUCUGCCCCAAUCCUAGCCUGACCAGCCCAGUAACGUUUUGAAAUUUAGUCGUCUGCCCAUCUCAUAUAGCAAAUGCAAAAUAUAUGGCCACCUAUUACCUAGAGGGAUUGAGGAGGUGGCGGGUUUGACGCCAGCUUAAAUCACACACAACCUUUCUACACUAGUAAUGCUUUGUGCAGUUAUUGUUGAAUACCGAUGAUCUUUUGAUAUAUAUUCUAUACAACUGUUAGCAACGGAUCACUCGGCUCUCGCGUCGAUGAAGAACGUAGCGAAUUGCGAAAAGUCAUGCGAUCUGCACAUCGUGAGUCAUCGAAUCUUUGAAUGCACAUUGCACCCGACGGGCUAUCUCGUCGGGUCUGCCUGGCUGAGCUGACACAAUCCAUGGCUGUAAUGACUCCGAUCUGUCCCUUCUCCUCUCCUCCUUUUCUCUAUAUCGGAAGGAGAGAGCAGUAGACAUCGGCAAGUCUUAUGUCGUGCUCGACGGUGUGUAUCACUGUCGGAUAUUGAGUGUCCAGAACUGCGCACACAUUGUGUGUGGUCUGGUCAUUUCAAAUAGAGCUUGCGAGGAUGCUUAAGCGUGAAUCAAUAUUAGCCGGCUCUGCCGGAAAUGGUUCAUGCCUAACAUUCCCGCAAAAGUCUACUAUCUCUAUACAAAAGUUGACUAGGGAACGUUUGCUUAUACUCUUCAUCAUAGAUGGUAUCCAACUCUCCAUCUAGCUUCCAAACUAAAGUCGGGGAAAGGUCGGCGAUCUUUCCACGGCGAGCGAUACAUAAAAGUAGUGCUAUGGUCAUUUAUGACUGACGCUCUCGCUCAAGAGUUGAAUGAAAGGAUCUGUCUGGCUGUGGACACCUAAAGAUAGGUCGUGGUGAAAUACCUCGUAUAUCCUCCCGGGCUUCCACAAGAAGUCACCUCUGCGUUUACGCUGGGUGGUGAUAGUUCUAGACUUAAUCCGGAAAAUUCGCGCGUGACGGGUGCAGAGCAAGUCGGUAAUAUGCAGCCUUUAAGCAUACAGCUACUUGCUACUCCUUAAGCGGCCCAUUCUGGCAUGGGUGGGGGUCACUCCUCAGUGUUGACAAUCCGUACAAGUGGAAAGCAGUGCGGUAAUUGUCAAUGCCUUGAUUAUUGGUCAUUAACAGACCGGGAGCCAGCCAAUGCCCCGGAGCGCUGAAGACCGCCUAUCUCGUACCAUAUUGAGCAGCGGUUAUCAGUGACUUACUAAGAUGGACCCUCUAAGGGCUUUGCCGCCCCACGGAUCUUGCGGUAAGAGUUCACAGCCGGGUGGGUGUCACAAAUUCUCCAUAAGCAAACAACAAACUUCUCUUCUCUAUACUCUCUGUGUAUAAUCAUCAUCAUCAUCAGUCACUCAGAUUAGGCAGGACGACCCGCUGAACUUAAGCAUAUCAGUAAGCGGAGGAAAAGAAACUAACCAGGAUUCCCUUAGUAACUGCGAGUGAAGCGGGAUUAGCCCAAUUUGAAAAUCAGACUGGUCUCAGUCGUCAGUUCUGAAUUGUAUUUUGUUGAGGCGUGGCCGAGUCUCGGGUCUUGCGACUAAAGUCCCUUGGAACAGGGCGCCAGAGAUGGUGAGAGCCCCGUGUCUGGUCGCACGACAUACCUGCUCGAGGCGACUCCGGUCCGUUCUCUUAGAGUCGGGAUGUUUGGGAUUGCAUUCUAAAGUGGGUGGUAAACUCCAUCUAAGGCUAAAUACUGGCGAGAGACCGAUAGCGAACAAGUACCGUGAGGGAAAGUUGAAAAGCACUCUGGAGAGAGAGUCAAACAGUACGUGAAAUUGCUAACAGGGAAACGUUGGGCGCCAGUACGCGAUGCUUGGAGACCAACCGUGGUGUCGAUUGUGCACUUGCAUUCUCUAGCCAGGCAAGACGCGCUCUCUCAUGUGUGUGUGUCUGCCGCUUGCACUUGUAUCAGUUGUCUCAUUGCCACGGCCUACGCUCUCUGUGUCGGGUCAAUCUCUGUUUCAUUGCGAUUCCUUCCUAGAUGCCGAUUAGGGAAUGUGCCAGGGCUGCUUGCGGACUUGGCCUUACCAGCCCUUGAUCGAUUGCUAGGUCGCAUGAGACUGAGGACACAGCUCGAUCCCAAUUCUCUCUUCUCGGAGGUUCUGGGUGACUAGGCGGCUUGUUCGUGUGGCUACUAGCCUGUCCAGCUCUAGUCGAGGCCAGCUUGCUGACCAAAGGCUAGCCUAAAAGCUAGACUCGAUCGAGUCCGACCUAUCGGGCUACUGAUGAUUGACGAAAUGGCAUUCAACGACCCGUCUUGAAACACGGACCAAGGAGUCUAACAUGUCUGCGAGUGUUUGGGUAAGCAAACCCGAACGCGCAAUGAAAGUGAGGAGCUUGUCAGUCCGACAAAGCCGCUUGUGCUAUCGUCGCGUCUCUUUCAAUCUAGAGGCGUCGCGUGCCCACGAACCGGCCGGCUUCCCUCAGUGGUGGUCGAGCCGAGUAGGAGCAUACAUGCUAGGACCCGAAAGAUGGUGAACUAUGCCUGAGCAGGAUGAAGCCAGAGGAAACUCUGGUGGAGGUCCGCAGCGGUUCUGACGUGCAAAUCGAUCGUCGGACUUGGGUAUAGGGGCGAAAGACUAAUCGAACCAUCUAGUAGCUGGUUCCUGC